GACGAACCGUGCGAACGUUAUUCGGAAUCACUGGGCUUAAAGCGCGUGUAGGCGGAUCGCCGCGUCGGCUGCUGAAAUCCCCCGGCUCAACCGGGGAACUGGCACCGAAACGGGCGGUCUGGAGGGGGUAGGGGGGUCUGGAACUUCCGGUGGAGCGGUGAAAUGCGUUGAGAUCGGAAGGAACGCCCGUGGCGAAAGCGAGGCCCUGGACCCUUACUGACGCUGAGACGCGAAAGCCAGGGGAGCGAACGGG
RNAcentral lists this ribosomal RNA (253 nucleotides) under uncultured bacterium. Its description in RNAcentral is "partial 16S ribosomal RNA". It matches the Rfam family "Bacterial small subunit ribosomal RNA", at positions 524 to 776 of the family's 1533-position model. The record is from RNAcentral.